RNAcentral lists this ribosomal RNA (292 nucleotides) under uncultured bacterium. Its description in RNAcentral is "partial 16S ribosomal RNA". It matches the Rfam family "Bacterial small subunit ribosomal RNA", at positions 505 to 796 of the family's 1533-position model. The record is from RNAcentral.
GUGUCAGCAGCCGCGGUAAGACGAAGGAUCCAAGCGUUAUCCGGAUUUAUUGGGUUUAAAGGGUGCGUAGGCGGAUUGAUAAGUCAGUGGUGAAAGCCUGCAGCUUAACUGCAGAACUGCCAUUGAUACUGUCAAUCUUGAAUAUGUUUGAUGUGGGCGGAAUAUGACAUGUAGCGGUGAAAUGCUUAGAUAUGUCAUAGAACACCGAUUGCGAAGGCAGCUCACAAAGCCAUUAUUGACGCUGAGGCACGAAAGCGUGGGGAUCAAACAGGAUUAGAAACCCCAGUAGUCC